RNAcentral lists this unclassified non-coding RNA (109 nucleotides) under uncultured fungus. Its description in RNAcentral is "sequence contains ITS1". The record is from RNAcentral. Lineage: Eukaryota; Fungi.
GAAAUGCGAUAAGUAAUGUGAAUUUGGGAAAUGUGUGUACUCCGGGUUUGAUCCUGGGUGUAUAUCUCAAUUGGACCUGAUAUCAGACAAGACUACCCGCUGAACUUAA